UGUCCCUAUGUCCCCAUGGCAACAGGUCACCUUGUCACUGUGUCACCAUGGCAACGUGUCCCCAUGUCAUUAUAUCGCUCUGUCACCAUGGCAACGCGUCCCUGUGUCACCGCUCCCCAUGUCCCCAUAGCCCCAUCUCCCUGUGUCACCAUGUCCCCAUGGCAACGUGUCGCGGUGUCCCCAUGUCGCUCUGUCCCCAUGUCAUCACAUCACUGCGUCACCAUGGCAAUGUGUCACCAUAGCAACGGGUCCCCAUCUCCCCAUGACUGUGAGUCCCCACGUCCCCAUGGCAACGUGUCCCCAUGGCAACAGGUCACCUUGUCACUGUGUCACCAUGGCAACGGGUCCCCAUGUCCCCCCGUCCCCAUGUCAUCAUGUCAUUGUGUCACCAUGGCAACGUGUCACCAUGGCUACAUGUCACUGUGUCCCCAUAUCCUAAUGUCCCCAUGUCAUUACAUCACUCUGUCACCAUGGCAACGUGUCCCCAUGGCAACGUGUCCCCAUGUCACCGCUCCCCAUGUCCCCAUAGCCCCAUCACCAUGUGUCACCAUGUCCCCAUGUCCCCAUGGCAACGUGUCACGGUGUCCCCAUCUCACACCGUCACCAUGGCAACGUGUCACCCUGUCCCCAUCUCACACCGUCACCAUGGCAACGUGUCAUCAAUCACUGUGUCACCAUGGCAACGUGUCACCUGUCCCCAUCUCAAACCAUCAUUGUGGCAACGUGUCACCAUGUCACUGUGUCCCCAUGUCCCCAUGUCCCCAUGUCAUCACAUCACUGUGUCACCAUGGCAACGUGUCACCGUGUCCCCAUCUCAAACCGUCACCAUGGCAACGUGUCAUCACGUCACUGCGUCCCCAUGGCAACGUGCCACCGUGACCCCAAUGACCCCUUGUCCCUCUGUCCCCAAACCCCACGGCCCCCAAAGC
RNAcentral lists this long non-coding RNA (929 nucleotides) under Phasianus colchicus (ring-necked pheasant). RNAcentral's name for it is "lncRNA (ENSPCLG00000017737.1)". Lineage: Eukaryota; Metazoa; Chordata; Aves; Galliformes; Phasianidae. The record is from RNAcentral.